GCCAGGGCAGGAUGGAGAUGGAUGAGGACCCGGAUAUCCUGCGCACCCAGGGGCAAGGCAACAUCAUCAUUACUAAGUAUGAGCAGGGACGCUGAGCUGGGGCAGCAGUGGCCAUCGAGCAUGAGCAUGUUGACAUCUGGAAAUUCACCGGUCGCCUCUGGGUUAUGUGCAAAGAUGUCAGGAGAUAAAACGCACUGCCAAGUGGCUGAAAAUACUCAGAGACUGGACAAAAUAUAAGAACAGCAGGAAGGUAACAUAACAGCUGGGACUGGUGGCUCAGACCUGUAAUCUCAGCACUUCAGGAGGCCGAGGUGGGCGGAUCACCUGAGG
Long non-coding RNA from Cercocebus atys (sooty mangabey), 330 nucleotides. RefSeq lists it as uncharacterized. NCBI's taxonomy places the organism in Eukaryota, Metazoa, Chordata, Mammalia, Primates, Cercopithecidae. The transcript is spliced from 4 exons. The record is from RefSeq and is a predicted model, not a curated record.